This 447-nucleotide ribosomal RNA is filed under the name uncultured organism. Its description in RNAcentral is "partial 16S ribosomal RNA". It matches the Rfam family "Bacterial small subunit ribosomal RNA", at positions 334 to 797 of the family's 1533-position model. The record is from RNAcentral.
CACUCCUGCGGGAGGCAGCAGUGGGGAAUAUUGGACAAUGGGCGCAAGCCUGAUCCAGCCAUGCCGCGUGAGUGAUGAAGGCCCUAGGGUUGUAAAGCUCUUUCACCGGUGAAGAUAAUGACGGUAACCGGAGAAGAAGCCCCGGCUAACUUCGUGCCAGCAGCCGCGGUAAUACGAAGGGGGCUAGCGUUGUUCGGAUUUACUGGGCGUAAAGCGCACGUAGGCGGACUAUUAAGUCAGGGGUGAAAUCCCGGGGCUCAACCCCGGAACUGCCUUUGAUACUGGUAGUCUUGAGUUCGAGAGAGGUGAGUGGAAUUCCGAGUGUAGAGGUGAAAUUCGUAGAUAUUCGGAGGAACACCAGUGGCGAAGGCGGCUCACUGGCUCGAUACUGACGCUGAGGUGCGAAAGCGUGGGGAGCAAACAGGAUUAGAUACCCGUGUAGUCCCA